GAUGAAGAACGUAGCGAAAUGCGAAAAGUAAUGUGAAUUGCAGAAUUCAGUGAACCAUCGAAUCUUUGAACGCACAUUGCGCCCGCUGGAACUCCGGCGGGCACGCCUGUCCGAGCGUCAUUUCAACCCUCAGGCCCCCCUUCGCGGGCGGGCCUGGUGUUGGGGCCCGGCCGCUACCCUGCGGCCGUCCCCUAAAUUCAGUGGCGGCCUCGCCGUGAUCCCUUGCGUAGUAAUGCACCUCGCACCGGAGAGCGCCGUGGCCACGCCGUAAAACCCCCAAUAUUCAAUGGUUGACCUCGGAUCAGGUGGGAAUACCCGCUGAACUUAAGCAUAUCAAUAAGCGGAGGA
RNAcentral lists this unclassified non-coding RNA (348 nucleotides) under soil metagenome. Its description in RNAcentral is "partial contains 5.8S ribosomal RNA, internal transcribed spacer 2, and large subunit ribosomal RNA". The stretch from base 1 to 120 matches the Rfam family "5.8S ribosomal RNA", at positions 35 to 154 of the family's 154-position model. The record is from RNAcentral.